Schistosoma margrebowiei is the source of this 45-nucleotide non-coding RNA. Lineage: Eukaryota; Metazoa; Platyhelminthes; Trematoda; Strigeidida; Schistosomatidae. The record is from Rfam.
ACCCAGCUGACGAGUGCUGUAUAGGACGAAACACGCGUCCUGGAU